AUAUGCAAAGCAUGCAUCAGCCACAUCCAUGCUAUCUCCUAAAGCAGUCAUUCUGAAACCCAAUCUGGGGACAGUGCAGACUAAAUAAAAUUUCAUUUUGAUUUGGCCUCCCGCUGCGAAUGGGACUGCUUUGUCUCAGCCGACAGAACCAGCAAGCCAGAAAGAUUGAAGAACAAAAUGAAAGUUAGUUAAAGAAGACGUUGAAGAAACAAUAGUGUGAAAACAGCACGAAAUGUCAUUUGGUAAAUAUGCCACAGCCUCACAUAAGGAAGAGGAAAAUGGCAGUGUGGGCCAUGAUUGGCAGGUCUGGAUCCAUAGACUGUGAUUUCCAGGAUCACCCAACAGGAAUGAAGACAUUUGGAGAAGAAGCGUUUACUGAAAGGAGAUUCCUGGGCUGGAGGAAAACCAUGAUCUACAGUUCAUGUUGACAGAUAUUGUAUUUUUGGUCCUAGAUCUGACUUUUGAAAUGACUUAUCACAAAUUCAAAUUUAGCAAUCAUGAGUGAAGUACCCACGAUGUGCUAAGCAUCUACCUCUGCAGAUAGAAGAACACUUACUGUUCCUGAGCAUGGGAGGGAAUAGAAG
This 584-nucleotide long non-coding RNA is filed under the name Homo sapiens (human). RNAcentral's name for it is "non-protein coding LINC01102:19". Lineage: Eukaryota; Metazoa; Chordata; Mammalia; Primates; Hominidae. The record is from RNAcentral.